RNAcentral lists this ribosomal RNA (407 nucleotides) under uncultured bacterium. RNAcentral describes it as "partial 16S ribosomal RNA". It matches the Rfam family "Bacterial small subunit ribosomal RNA", at positions 28 to 526 of the family's 1533-position model. The record is from RNAcentral.
GACGAACGCUGGCGGCGUGCCUAAUACAUGCAAGUAGGACGCAGUUGCGAACGGGUGAGUAACGCGUAGGUACCUGCCUAUUCGAGGGGGAUAACUAUUGGAAACGAUAGCUAAUACCGCAUACUAGUAGAUGGCCCUGCGUUGUAUUAGCUAGUAGGUAGGGUAAUGGCCUAUCUAGGCGACGAUACAUAGCCGACCUGAGAUGGUGAGCGGCCACACUGGGACUUGGACACUGCCCAGACCCCUACGGGAGGACGCAGUAGGGAAUCUUAGUCAAUUGGGUGAACCCUGACCGAGCAACGCCGCGUGAGUGAAGAAGGUUUUCGGAUCGUAAAGCUCUGUUGUUAAGGAAGCGGUACUUAACCAGAAAGGGACGGCUAACUACGUGCCAGCAGCCGCGGUAAUUC